RNAcentral lists this ribosomal RNA (557 nucleotides) under Nostoc sp. LCRSM-1417. RNAcentral's name for it is "bacterial SSU rRNA". It matches the Rfam family "Bacterial small subunit ribosomal RNA", at positions 100 to 698 of the family's 1533-position model. The record is from RNAcentral. Lineage: Bacteria; Bacillati; Cyanobacteriota; Cyanophyceae; Nostocales; Nostocaceae.
GACGGGGGUAACGCGUGAGAAUCUGGCUCAGGUCGGGGACAACAGUUGGAAACGACUGCUAAUACCGGAUGUGCCGAAGGUAAAAGAUUAUUGCCUGGAGAUGAGCUCGCGUCUGAUUAGCUAGUUGGUGAGGUAAGAGCGCACCAAGGCGACGAUCAGUAGCUGGUCUGAGAGGAUGAUCAGCCACACUGGGACUGAGACACGGCCCAGACUCCUACGGGAGGCAGCAGUGGGGAAUUUUCCGCAAUGGGCGAAAGCCUGACGGAGCAAUACCGCGUGAGGGAGGAAGGCUCUUGGGUUGUAAACCUCUUUUCUCAAGGAAUAACAAUGAAGGUACUUGAGGAAUAAGCAUCGGCUAACUCCGUGCCAGCAGCCGCGGUAAUACGGAGGAUGCAAGCGUUAUCCGGAAUGAUUGGGCGUAAAGGGUCCGCAGGUGGCAUUGUGUGUCUGCUGUCAAAGAAUGAGGCUUAACCUUAUCAAGGCAGUGGAAACUACAAAGCUAGAGUACGGUCGGGGUAGAAGGAAUUCCUGGUGUAGCGGUGAAACCCGUAGAGAUC